RNAcentral lists this ribosomal RNA (250 nucleotides) under uncultured bacterium. RNAcentral describes it as "partial 16S ribosomal RNA". It matches the Rfam family "Bacterial small subunit ribosomal RNA", at positions 524 to 773 of the family's 1533-position model. The record is from RNAcentral. RNAcentral also lists the same sequence under 1 other name.
UACGUAGGUGGCAAGCGUUAUCCGGAUUUAUUGGGCGUAAAGCGAGCGCAGGCGGUUUUCUAAGUCUGAUGUGAAAGCCUUCGGCUUAACCGAAGAAGUGCAUCGGAAACUGGAUGACUUGAGUGCAGAAGAGGGCAGUGGAACUCCAUGUGUAGCGGUGGAAUGCGUAGAUAUAUGGAAGAACACCAGUGGCGAAGGCGGCUGCCUGGUCUGUAACUGACGCUGAGGCUCGAAAGCAUGGGUAGCGAAC